UAAGACGGAGGGGGCUAGCGUUGUUCGGAAUGACUGGGCGUAAAGGGCGCGUAGGCGGUAUUUUAAGUGAGGCGUGAAAGCCCCGGGCUUAACCCGGGAGGUGCGUUUCAUACUGGAAUGCUAGAGUGCGAGAGAGGAAAGUGGAAUUCCUAGUGUAGAGGUGAAAUUCGUAGAUAUUAGGAAGAACACCAGAGGCGAAGGCGGCUUUCUGGCUCGCAACUGACGCUGAGGCGCGAAAGCGUGGGGAGCAAACAGGAUUAGAUACCCUGGUAGUCCACGCUGUAAACGAUGAGUGCUAGACGUUGGAGGAUUCUUCAGUGUCGCAGCUAACGCAAUAAGCACUCCGCCUGGGGAGUACGGUCGCAAGAUUA
This 371-nucleotide ribosomal RNA is filed under the name uncultured bacterium. Its description in RNAcentral is "bacterial SSU rRNA". It matches the Rfam family "Bacterial small subunit ribosomal RNA", at positions 521 to 896 of the family's 1533-position model. The record is from RNAcentral.